GACGAACGCUGGCGGCGUGCCUAACACAUGCAAGUCAACUUGACUGAAGGAGCAAUCUGACAGUAGAGUGGCGCAAGGGUGCGUAACGCGUAAGUAACUUGCCCAAGGUAAGGAAUAACGUCGAGAAAUCGGCGCUAAUACCUCAUAAUGCAGCGGAUCCGCAUGGAUAUGUUGUUAAAGGUUUACCGCCUUGGGAUAGGCUUGCGUCUGAUUAGCUAGUUGGUGUGGUAACGGCACACCAAGGCUACGAUCAGUAACUGGUCUGAGAGGAUGAUCAGUCACACUGGAACUGAGACACGGUCCAGACUCCUACGGGAGGCAGCAGUGAGGAAUAUUGGGCAAUGCUCGAAAGAGUGACCCAGCAACGCCGCGUGGAGGAUGAAGGUAGUUCUAUAUCGUAAACUCCUGUGAGAGCAGACGAAGACAGAUUAUUAAUCUGGAUGACUGUAUGCUCAGAGGAAGCCCCGGCUAACU
This 474-nucleotide ribosomal RNA is filed under the name uncultured bacterium. Its description in RNAcentral is "bacterial SSU rRNA". It matches the Rfam family "Bacterial small subunit ribosomal RNA", at positions 28 to 502 of the family's 1533-position model. The record is from RNAcentral.